GCUCUGGACCAGUGUGGCCCGUCCAGCGAGAGGAAGAUCGCAGUCAUAGACAAGAACCGUGACCUGUACCUGACCGCUGUGCAUCGCAUCAACAGAGAACACAACAUCUGCAAGAUAGGUCCACACCAUGUCCUAGAAUGACUCCGCGAACAUCCUGUGUGGUAUUCAGGACACACAGUUCACUGUGUGGCACUAUCCCGGUGCGGUCUUCACUGGACCUGCUGGCUAAAACACUACAUGAAAGACGCCAGUGAGUUCAGCCGUGCGGCCCACAUCCUGAACUAUGUGGGACUCAGGUGACGGCUCGUUGGUGUUCAGCAGCUUACCUACACCACCGUGCUGCAUGAGUAC
Molecule: long non-coding RNA, 351 nt
Organism: Oncorhynchus masou masou (cherry salmon)
Lineage: Eukaryota; Metazoa; Chordata; Actinopteri; Salmoniformes; Salmonidae
Exons: 3
Source: RefSeq, a predicted model, not a curated record